RNAcentral lists this ribosomal RNA (1411 nucleotides) under bacterium. Its description in RNAcentral is "bacterial SSU rRNA". It matches the Rfam family "Bacterial small subunit ribosomal RNA". The record is from RNAcentral.
GCUGCUUACACAUGCAAGUCGAACGGAAAGGCCCUUCGGGGUACUCGAGUGGCGAACGGGUGAGUAACACGUGGGUGAUCUGCCCUGCACUCUGGGAUAAGCCUGGGAAACUGGGUCUAAUACCGGAUAGGACCACACACUUCAUGGUGAGUGGUGCAAAGCUUUUGCGGUGUGGGAUGAGCCUGCGGCCUAUCAGCUUGUUGGUGGGGUAAUGGCCCACCAAGGCGACGACGGGUAGCCGGCCUGAGAGGGUGACCGGCCACACUGGGACUGAGAUACGGCCCAGACUCCUACGGGAGGCAGCAGUGGGGAAUAUUGCACAAUGGGCGCAAGCCUGAUGCAGCGACGCCGCGUGAGGGAUGACGGCCUUCGGGUUGUAAACCUCUUUCAGUAGGGACGAAGCGAAAGUGACGGUACCUACAGAAGAAGGACCGGCCAACUACGUGCCAGCAGCCGCGGUAAUACGUAGGGUCCGAGCGUUGUCCGGAAUUACUGGGCGUAAAGAGCUCGUAGGUGGUUUGUCGCGUUGUUCGUGAAAACUCACAGCUUAACUGUGGGCGUGCGGGCGAUACGGGCAGACUAGAGUACUGCAGGGGAGACUGGAAUUCCUGGUGUAGCGGUGGAAUGCGCAGAUAUCAGGAGGAACACCGGUGGCGAAGGCGGGUCUCUGGGCAGUAACUGACGCUGAGGAGCGAAAGCGUGGGUAGCGAACAGGAUUAGAUACCCUGGUAGUCCACGCCGUAAACGGUGGGUACUAGGUGUGGGUUUCCUUCCUUGGGAUCCGUGCCGUAGCUAACGCAUUAAGUACCCCGCCUGGGGAGUACGGUCGCAAGACUAAAACUCAAAGGAAUUGACGGGGGCCCGCACAAGCGGCGGAGCAUGUGGAUUAAUUCGAUGCAACGCGAAGAACCUUACCUGGGUUUGACAUGCGCAGGACGUAUCUAGAGAUAGGUAUUCCCUUGUGGCCUGCGUGCAGGUGGUGCAUGGCUGUCGUCAGCUCGUGUCGUGAGAUGUUGGGUUAAGUCCCGCAACGAGCGCAACCCUUGUCCUAUGUUGCCAGCGGGUGAUGCCGGGGACUCGUAGGAGACUGCCGGGGUCAACUCGGAGGAAGGUGGGGAUGACGUCAAGUCAUCAUGCCCCUUAUGUCCAGGGCUUCACACAUGCUACAAUGGCCAGUACAGAGGGCUGCGAAGCCGCAAGGUGGAGCGAAUCCCUUAAAGCUGGUCUCAGUUCGGAUUGGGGUCUGCAACUCGACCCCAUGAAGUCGGAGUCGCUAGUAAUCGCAGAUCAGCAACGCUGCGGUGAAUACGUUCCCGGGCCUUGUACACACCGCCCGUCACGUCAUGAAAGUCGGUAACACCCGAAGCCAGUGGCCUAACCUUUCGGAGGGAGCUGUCUAAGGGGUCGGGUG